Molecule: long non-coding RNA, 731 nt
Filed under: Mustela putorius furo (domestic ferret)
Lineage: Eukaryota; Metazoa; Chordata; Mammalia; Carnivora; Mustelidae
Description: lncRNA (ENSMPUG00000031144.1)
Source: RNAcentral
GGGAGGGCCUGUUGGAGGGCUCCACUUCUUGUGCUGGAGGCUUCCAUGGAAGGCCUCCCUUGCCCUGUAAAUAACCCAGCUCCUUUCUGCUGCUCAGCCGUGUGGACGCCACUUCAUUUCUGGCAGAUGAGGAGCACUGUAGAGGGAGUCCAGCUCUGCUGUGUGACUGUGGGUGACUGAAUUCCCUCUCAGGGUCUUGGUUUGCCUUGAGGUGAGGAGGUGAGGAGGGUGGGCUGGCUGAUCCCAAAGGGCCGCUGUCAGCUCUAAUGUCCCAGCCUGCCCUCCCGACAGCAAGGCUGUAUGAACGUCUUUCUGUAAGGGCCUGAAUUAUCAGGAAAACCACGGUUGGGAAGACCAGAAUCAAACACAACAAAAAAUAACAAGCCAGAAAUCACUCCUGUCUGUAUUUUCCUUUCUUCUCUAUCUGGCCUCAAGGGAGCAGCAGUGGAGAGGGACACAGCACUGGACCAAGGCGUCUGCAAGACCUGAAUUCAAUUCCCAUUCUGCCCCUUACGGGCAGUGUCAUUUGGGAAAACUAAGGCACAAGAGGUCCAUAGAAAGCAAGCCAGGACCUAAGCCUAGGCUCUUGACCACUGCACUGUAUCAACGAAGUGAAGACCAAACGAACCAGAGGAGCUAGAACUCAGCGCUCUUACGUUGGAAAGACAGUGAGGUUCCACUCAGGGUCUGCAUUCAUGCACAAAUGUCAAAACCAAGGAAGCCCUUGCCCA